Molecule: ribosomal RNA, 622 nt
Filed under: uncultured marine eukaryote
Lineage: Eukaryota
Description: SSU rRNA
Rfam family: Eukaryotic small subunit ribosomal RNA
Source: RNAcentral
UGUGGUUAAAAAGCUCGUAGUUGGAUCUCAACAGCCUUGAAGCGGUUAACUUUGUAGUUUUACUGCUUUAUAGGCUGUGCUUUUGCUGGAGGUUUAGGGGUGCUCUUGAUCGAGUGUCUCUGGAUGCCAGCAGGUUUACUUUGAAAAAAUUAGAGUGCUCAAAGCAGGCUAAAAUGCCUGAAUAUUCGUGCAUGGAAUAAUAGAAUAGGAUGUCGAUCCUAUUUUGUUGGUUUUCGGGACUCGACAUAAUGAUAAAUAGGGACAGUCGGGGGCAUUUGUAUUCAAACGACAGAGGUGAAAUUCUUGGACCGUUUGAAGACAAACUACUGCGAAAGCAUUUGCCAAGAAUGUUUUCAUUAAUCAAGAACGAAAGUUAGAGGUUCGAAGGCGAUUAGAUACCGCCCUAGUUCUAACCAUAAACGAUGCCAGCUAGCGAUCUGCCUGCGUUUUUACUGUAGACUGGGCAGGAAGCUUCCGGGAAACCAAAGCAUUUGGGUUCCAGGGGAAGUAUGGUUGCAAAGCUGAAACUUAAAGGAAUUGACGGAAGGGCACCACCAGGAGUGGAGCCUGUGGCUUAAUUUGACUCAACACGGGAAAUCUCACCAGGCCCGGACACUGGAAG